UUUACGUGUAGUUGUUGAUUGAAGUGUCACCGCCCAAAACUACAUUCAAUAGUUGUAACCUGUUCACCACCACCCCACUUACCCAAUAUAUUUUCAAAGACACCGCCCCACUACAAGUUGAUUGUCGGCCACAAUCAAAAUUUUGUGAAUAAUCAUUUUGUUGGUCAGUUGCUGAUAUCAAUAUCCACCGCCCAAUCAACAUAAUCUUUUGCACCGCCCAUUAAAGAGUGUGAGGCCCAAUCAGAUUUUUUAAUCCACUGCACAUCACAGCCCCACUUAAAGUGUUUGUGAUUGGUUGUUUGGUACAGCCCAUUUGUUUAAAUUCGGUCAAAUCUCAUGUUUUAUCACAAGUUCAGAAGACAGUUGAUUAGUGAUUCGAGGGAUUUUUACAAGGGACAAAUUUCAAGAAGUUGAAAUUGUGUGAACUUUGAGCGAAAAACAUUUUUUAAUCAAGUCACUAAUAUUCAAAAUUUGACAAAAAAUGUUUGAUGAACAAGAAAACAAAAAUCUUGAAAAUCUGAAUAACUGGAAAAAGGAAGCUUGGAAUGAAACGAGAUAUGAUAAAGAGGUCUAUAUAAACAGAUACGAAAAUUUCUUGUGCAUGAAGGAUGAAUCGAUGGAGAUGUUGAAAGAAAGAUUUUGGGAAUUAAUAAUCAAAUUAGAUAAACAUAAGGUUUGGUAUUCAACUGAUGAUAAAAAAUUAAAAUUUGUUGAGGCGUUACCUUUGGAAUGGAACAAAUUUGUGAAUAAUGAACUAAAACGAGAUUCUAGGUUAUCACGCAUUGAUCUAAGAAGUCUGCUCAACACAGUUACAAAUCAUCAGUUUCAUGAAAAUGCAGAUAAAAGGAAGUUAUUGGAUGAUUUAAAAGAAGAAUCAGGAAAGAUAGAUUUGAAUAUAAUCAUCGAAAUAAGAAAACGAAUUGAUGUGUGUCUUGCAGCAAAAAAGAAUAUGAGAUACGAUAUUAAGAGGGGUUGUUAUAUUGAUAAAGAUUCGAAUCCUCUUGAUUUUGUUAAACUUUUUUGUGCAGGUACAUAUGAAAAGAUGAUUGAAGAUGGUUCGAAAUGCGAAAAAUCAGAAGCCGACAGUAUGAAACUCUUGAAGGAUGUGGAGAGUUUGACAUUGGAAAACAAUACUCUGAAAAACGAGAAGAAAGCUGAUGACGAACAUAUUCAGGGUUUACGUUUAAAUUGCGAAAAAUUGAGGUCUGAAAAUGACGAAUUUUUAAAGAUUGUUGAGAGUUUAACAGCAGAAAACAAAAUUUUGAAAGAAAAUGAAAAAGAUUUUGAAAGCAAAAGAAAAUCUUCAGAAGAUGAAGAUCUCUGGAUAAAAUUGGA
RNAcentral lists this long non-coding RNA (1335 nucleotides) under Helianthus annuus (common sunflower). RNAcentral describes it as "sRNA HanXRQr2_Chr09g0398721". The record is from RNAcentral. Lineage: Eukaryota; Viridiplantae; Streptophyta; Magnoliopsida; Asterales; Asteraceae.